RNAcentral lists this ribosomal RNA (604 nucleotides) under uncultured Gammaproteobacteria bacterium. RNAcentral describes it as "bacterial SSU rRNA". It matches the Rfam family "Bacterial small subunit ribosomal RNA", at positions 55 to 648 of the family's 1533-position model. The record is from RNAcentral. Lineage: Bacteria; Pseudomonadati; Pseudomonadota; Gammaproteobacteria.
AUGCAAGUCGAACGGCAGCACAGGAGAGCUUGCUCUCUGGGUGGCGAGUGGCGGACGGGUGAGGAAUACAUCGGAAUCUACUCUGUCGUGGGGGAUAACGUAGGGAAACUUACGCUAAUACCGCAUACGACCUACGGGUGAAAGCAGGGGAUCUUCGGACCUUGCGCGAUUGAAUGAGCCGAUGUCGGAUUAGCUAGUUGGCGGGGUAAAGGCCCACCAAGGCGACGAUCCGUAGCUGGUCUGAGAGGAUGAUCAGCCACACUGGAACUGAGACACGGUCCAGACUCCUACGGGAGGCAGCAGUGGGGAAUAUUGGACAAUGGGCGCAAGCCUGAUCCAGCCAUACCGCGUGGGUGAAGAAGGCCUUCGGGUUGUAAAGCCCUUUUGUUGGGAAAGAAAUCCAGCUGGUUAAUACCCGGUAGGGAUGACGGUACCCAACGAAUAAGCACCGGCUAACUUCGUGCCAGCAGCCGCGGUAAUACGAAGGGUGCAAGCGUUACUCGGAAUUACUGGGCGUAAAGCGUGCGUAGGUGGUUAUUUAAGUCCGUUGUGAAAGCCCUGGGCUCAACCUGGGUACUGCAGUGGAUACUGGAUGACUAGAAUG